GCAGUCGCCGCGGUAAUACGGAGGGUGCAAGCGUUAUCCGGAUUUAUUGGGUUUAAAGGGUCCGUAGGCGGACUUAUAAGUCAGUGGUGAAAGCCUGUCGCUUAACGAUAGAACUGCCAUUGAUACUGUAAGUCUUGAGUAUAUUUGAGGUAGCUGGAAUAAGUAGUGUAGCGGUGAAAUGCAUAGAUAUUACUUAGAACACCAAUUGCGAAGGCAGGUUACCAAGAUAUAACUGACGCUGAGGGACGAAAGCGUGGGUAGCGAACAGGAUUAGAUACCCCCGUAGUCCCUGUCUCUUAUAC
This 302-nucleotide ribosomal RNA is filed under the name uncultured bacterium. Its description in RNAcentral is "partial 16S ribosomal RNA". It matches the Rfam family "Bacterial small subunit ribosomal RNA", at positions 508 to 807 of the family's 1533-position model. The record is from RNAcentral.